CUUUCGGUCAUGACCCAAAGUUCAUGGCCAUAGGUGAAAGUUCAUGGCCAUAGGUGAGGGUUGGGUUGUUUUGAUCUAUUAAAAAAAUUAAAGUUUAUGGUUGUGACCAAAGAAAAUGUGAAAAGGUUUAAGAGGUAUAAGACGAUAUGUGAGGUGCUAUAACUCCUGUUAAAAAUGUAACCUGACUUUAAGGUUAUUGGAUCCUAUAUUCGUCAAUAACACUGUGAAUUAAACUCAAGUCAAAAUGUUGUAAAUCUUGUGCUGCUAACAAAUGUUGCUCAAGCAUGUAAAACAUAUUUUAUUCAAGCUUCGAAAUGUACACCCUAAAGUAAAUCAACAUUUAACGAGUGUUUAUGAGAACUUCGACUUGUUGAUGGUGCAAAGUAAAGACUUUGUGGCUCUUUUAGUUGGACUUUCUUUUAAUCCAGCUCUAAAACAACCUGCUGUUGUGUCUAAAUUCAUCAUUUUCUGACAUCAAGUUGAGAUCCACAGCAUUGGGCCAUGAAUCUGGUAGCUGAUGACAAUCAGGAUUUCUGAAUAAUUCACUAAAUGUUUUUCUGCUACUGAAGAGUUGACCAGGGAUUAGUCCCGACUAAUGUUCAACAUGACUUGGUUCAAAGAUCAGUCAAAGUAUCAAACUCAAGGUCCGUUUCUGUUUUAACCGCUAAGUGACACUAAGUGAUGUUUAUUGCUAACUGAGGUCACAAAAUGAGAGAAAUAAGUAACCUCAGCUGCAAGAAAACAGCUUGAGGAAAAGGCAAUUAAUGACUGUGUAGGUGUUGUAUGGGAGGAUGCUGCAUCGUCAGCAUUAGGUGCUAAAAUGAUGCAACUUACUGCUCCAAACUCUAUCAUAGGUUAUGUGUCAGUAAUAACUGAUGAUGUCUGAUUUUAACUUUACACUAAACAUCUCCAGAGUCAGGAGAUAGACUGUGUCAUAGACACAUUUAGGUAGAUUUUGAAGAAUGUGUGACUAAAUUAAUAAAUCUUUUCUCUUUGGAGGUGGUUUCUAUCUCUUUAGAUGAACUGGUUGUUAUCAUUCAGUAGGCUUCACAUUUGUUAUAUUAUGUUCAUGGCCCCUAAGGGUCCUACUACUAUAACAUCUAGAGACAAAUUAAGUUCAUUCAGAAUAUCGGCGCUAAAUCAACAUACAAAAUCAACUUUAAGCAUCUGAGCUUCAGCUUCUAUCGUGUCGCUGAAGCUUUAACCUGGGAAAAAUAUUUUCAGCUUCUCCUGUUUGCAGCCACCAUGUUUCAACCAACUACUGAGCACCGAAUAAGAGCUGUUAAGGUGAUAUGACAUGACAUAAUGAGGUAAGAGAUUUAGUGACAUGACUCACUUGAUGCAAGGUCCAAUCUACUGCAGAGUCAAGGUGGUGCCACUGAAGCUUUGCAAGCUUUUUGUGGCUGCAAAGCUGAAUAUAGAUGUCUGUUUAAUGUAUUUUAUUAGGAAUGAAUAAAAAUGCCAGUUUUCCUGUAAAGUAAUGAAAAAGUAAACAUGUUCUCUUUCUGUUCUCUGGGUUUUAUAAACAGAACUAAGAAAAUAAUCGUUUUGUCUUUGGUAUACAGAGAAGGUCACGGAUGACUCAGGUCCUAUUGCUGCCAAAGAAGCCCAAAUCAUCAGCCCUCCACCACCAUGCCUGACAGUAGGAAUGAUGUGCUGGUGCUGAUAUGCUGUGUUUGUGGAGCUGUGCAUACUUACUUUGGUGUCAACUAUCCAGAGGACAUUGCUCCAAAACAUCCAGUGCCUAAUUCAGAUUCAACAUUGCAAAUCUUUCAAAAGUCCUGCCCUUCAACCCUUCUAACCGACCCAUAUGGUCAAUAUUGUUCUAAUGGUCCUGCCGUGACCUUUUACAGUUACCAUGUUGACUGAGGCCUGUGGAAUCUGAAAUGGAGCUCUUCUGUUUUUCAUUUUUUUGUCAUUUUGUACAUUUAUUGUCUGGCUUGAAGUGAAAAUUAAAGUCCAGGUUAAACCAUGACAUAUAUGUUGAUUUGAAUUGAUGUUGUUUAAUGAAGCAAGAAGUUUCUCAUUUGUUCAUUUUAAAAAUAACAGAACAGGGUCAGAACCUCAGGAGCAGGUGUGGCUUGUGUAAAAUUGGACCAAUAUUGACUUCAGAGACUGGGGCCAUAGAUGACCUGUUUUAUAGACUUAUUGUGCAUGGGUUCUCUCGUUAAUGAACAAUCUCAGAUUAUAAGAAACAAACAAUAGACUAAAAAACAAACUUAAAAAACGAGUGAAAGCAUCAAGAUUGUCCAAAAGAAUUCCUUAUUCGCUUCACUUAUUAUCUAGUUAAAAAAGCAAUAACUUGAUUAUUGAAAUGCAGUCUGGACAACAGACAUCCAUACAUGCUGACCCCUGACCUUUAAGGUAUGGCUAUUAAAUAAAUCACAUGAUCACUUUUGGAUAAAAUGCAGCGUUCCCAGACAUCCAAGCACAGCAGCUGUUCAACAGGAACGUUGGAGAAAAUCUGUACAUCGCUUUUAUCAGUCUGUAAGUUUUAGUUUUCUCCUGAAAAGUGAACAAAGAAUCAAACAUCUCAGUGACAGAACAGAUCAAAUAUUACAGAACAAUAUAAACCAACUACACGUGGAUUUCUGGUCAACAAACCCAAUCAGAUGAAACGUGGAGA
Girardinichthys multiradiatus is the source of this 2626-nucleotide long non-coding RNA. RefSeq lists it as uncharacterized. Lineage: Eukaryota; Metazoa; Chordata; Actinopteri; Cyprinodontiformes; Goodeidae. The record is from RefSeq and is a predicted model, not a curated record. The transcript is spliced from 2 exons.